GCGGAGGGUAUGAGGAGCUUGCUCNAGUGCCCUUAGCGGCGNACGGGUGAGUAACGCGUGAACAAUCUGUCCUUCACAGGGGGAUAACGCAUCGAAAGAUGUGCUAAUACCGCAUAAGANCACGGGACCACAUGGUUCAGGGGUCAAAGGAGCAAUCCCGGUGGAGGGUGAGUUCNCGUCCCAUUAGCUAGUUGGCGGGGUAACGGCCCACCAAGGCGACGAUGGGUAGCCGACCCUGAGAGGGUGAUCGGCCACACCUGGAACUGANAAACGGUCCAGACUCCCUACNGGAGGCAGCAGUAGGGAAUAUUGGGCAAUGGGCGAAAGCCUGACCCAGCAACGCCGCGUGAGGGAAGAAGGCCUUCGGGUUGUAAACCUCUGUCCCAUGUGAAGAGAAGAAGACGGUAGCNUGGGAGGAAGCCCCCGGCCUAACUACGUGCCAGCAGCCGCGGUAAUACGUAGGGGGCAAGNGUUGUCCGGAAUGANUGGGCGUAAAGGGCGCCGUAGGCNGCCUUAUAAGUCUGGAGUGAAAGUCCCGCUUUCNAGGUGGGAAUUGCUUUGGAAACUGUGAGGCUUGAGUGUGGGAGAGGAUAGCGGAAUUCCCCNGUGUAGCGGUGAAAUGCGUACAGAUC
This 632-nucleotide ribosomal RNA is filed under the name uncultured bacterium. Its description in RNAcentral is "bacterial SSU rRNA". It matches the Rfam family "Bacterial small subunit ribosomal RNA", at positions 66 to 698 of the family's 1533-position model. The record is from RNAcentral.